This 2068-nucleotide long non-coding RNA is filed under the name Homo sapiens (human). RNAcentral's name for it is "HSALNT0147918". The record is from RNAcentral. Lineage: Eukaryota; Metazoa; Chordata; Mammalia; Primates; Hominidae.
CAGCUGCGGGGAGAUGCGUGCAAAAGAGCAUCAGUGAGAGCUGGCCGGUGUUCUUGAUCUGAUAAGGAUAUGCAGCCCAUCACCCCCGAAGUAUUUCACUCCUUGGUAACCUGCCUAUUGGAUUGCAACUUCUUCAUCUGGUUUUUGUCAGCAGGCAUAUUAGUGUGAAGAUACGUCCAGAGAAACUCUAUAGUCAUUGAUAUAGGAGGGAAAACCACAGCUAAUUAAAAAUUUUAAGUGGUUCUAUUUUAGGACCAACAGGUAUAUAUGCCUGCUUUUCAUUAACAGACUAAUACACUGAGACAGCAGGGUUUGUAUUAGAAAAAGUUUAAUGAUCACAGGGUGUGGAGCAAGGAGAUGAAAGAAAAGCCUCAAAUCCAUGUCCCAAAGGAGUCCUGGGCUUGGAUUUUUAAGAAUGUCAUAGAGUACAAGGGCCUGGAAAAUUGGGGUAAUUGAUUGGUCAGGGAAAAGGGGAUAAAAUUAUCAGAAUGUGGAAACUGCAUUCUUUGGUGAGUCAGUUUCUUCUGGGAUCCUUCAGACUAGCUGGUGUCAAUGGGGUCUUUCAGAGCUGUUGGCAUCAGUAGUUUCAUCGGUGUGCAGGAUCUGCUUUAAAGAAUAUCUCAGAGGGAAAACUUAAUGUUUCAUAAUAUUCAAAUCGUUGUCUAUAGAGCAGUUAAGGGGUAUGAUAAUCUUGUAACAGGGACUAUGUGAUUCUGAGGCAAUAGACAAACAACUAUGAGGAAGAGGUCACAGGGUUACAUAAUGAUUAACUGAGAGUGCUACCAGCUUGGUUUAUUUUUGUUUCUCUCCCUGCCUCCUCUCUGAUUAAUUGUAUAAAGUUUAUAGGGAUACUAUCAGUUCCACUCAAUUCCAGCCUUUUUUUUGACUUUAACCUAAGGAUUCUGAGAAUGGGAAUAAUAAAACCAUUUAUAUCUCACUGCCUGUACACAUACAAUUCAUCCCACAGAAAACCAUGUGCUUGCAGUGUGUCCUUCCAAUGCUUGAGCUGUAGCCUAUACUUCACAUAUUGCACCAUUUAUUAGCCCACUUGUUUGAACUGUCACAACCACUUGGAUCACUACACUAAUGAAUUAGUUUGAUUAAAAGAAUAUUACCAGAAUCCCAAAAGUAGUUUUUUACCCACACCCAACACUAAUCUAAAUAUUUUAAAUAAAUGUCAUUAUUUCAGUGUGUUUUUCAACUCCCUUUCUGUAUACUUACUCAAUGUCUUUCUAUCAUUUUGAAGCAAAGACCCGCAUGCCUCUGCAAUAAUACUUAAUUCCUUCUCUGGCUUUACUUUGAACUAGAUAUAUUUUAUAAAAUUUCCUGCUUUUGGAAUCCUUAUGAUUAGUUUGAUAAUGUUCCUUUGUUAUUGACAUUUUUUAACUGAACAAAACCUACAGAAGGAAGAAAAUAAAUAGGAAUGCUCAAAUGCAUAUUUGUUCAUAAAUGGCACCAGUUUUUAAAUGUUUAACAUUUAUUUCUUUGUUUUUGUUUGUGCAAAUGUAUGGGAUCAAGAGAAAUUUUGUUACAUGUAUCCAAUUUGUAGUGACCAAGCCAGGAUAUUCAGUGUCCAUCACCUGGGUACAAUACAAUUUCGUGAAGUGUAGUUAUCCUACUCUACUAUCAAACAUUGAAUUUAUUCCUUCUAUCUUAUUUAUGUAUAUUCCAUUUAAAAUGUAUUUUGCUUUUCUCUUUUAAGUUGUGUUAAAGUAGUGCAUUUUUCUUUUUAUUUUUCACUUUCUAUUUGUUCAUAUUCGCAUUUUUGUUCGUAUAUUUUUUCUCUUAUUCAGUCUGAUAUGAAAAACUGACAAAUGAGUAUAGUAAAUUAUUUUUUGUUCCGUUAUUAGAGUGGUAUAAUACUGCUGGUUUUGUAAUCCAAACAAGAGCACACUCAAGGGUUUCUUAUUCUAAAUAUUUACAUUAAAUGGUUUCUAGAUUGCUCAUAUAUUACAUAUGGUUGGUACUGACGAUAUAUAGCAAUGAAUAUCUUGAAGAAAUAUAAAAUAUAUUUGUUAUUAUUUAAAUGUUUCAAGAUAUUAUGAAAUAAAGUGAUUUUGUAUUAAUA